CUCUCUCCCCGAGCGGCCGCCAGGAUGUGCCCCCGGCCCCGUCGUCGCCGCGCCCGCGCCCCUCGCCCCAGUACGUCUUUUUUCGUUUCCUAAAUUUCUUAUUUUUGUCCUUGCAAGUGGUCCUGUCUGGUGUGAACCGUCAGCACAGAUGGCCUCCUGGAGCUUCCCCGAGUCGUUCGCUGGGGGAAGCGGGCGGUGAGCGGCCAGCCCGGGCGCUCCGCAGGCCGCGAGCUCCCGGCAGGGCUGGUGGCGGGGGUCCGCCUGGGGGAGGAAUCCCCGCCUGCUCCAUCGGACCCGGCCUGGCGCGGCUCGCGGCGCUCGGCGGGCUCCCUUCCAUUCUAGAAUCUUCCCGCUUGCUUCCCAGCCCGCGUUCUUCCGCCUGCCUUUAAUUGUGUGUGGACGUGGGGAGGAUCUUCUAAGUCCCUCCAACGAAGGCAAGUGUGAGACUCUGGCCCUUUAUUUGUAAGAAGCAAGCCUUCAGAUUGCAGAAGUGUCGCGCGGGUCGCCGUGCGUUGCGCGAGUGGGAAGAUGGAGGAGGCCGGCACGCUGCUUUCGUGGACGCAAGUGAACCGGGCGUGAAGGCAGGGUGCGAGCUCUGCCCUUGGCCCAGCCCUGCGUGGGCGCCGUCCCAGAUUCCGGGCGGUGCGGGGUGCAGAGAUCUGGAGAGACUUGCGGGCUCCCCAGCGCAGGCUGCUCUGGGAUUUCGUUGGAAGAUCCGGCAGAGCCUUGGAGGAGAGGGCCCGGGAGGCUGUGUGUGCAGCGGAAACUUGUACGAAUGCCCCCACAGCGGAAAUGGUGCGCACGAGUAAUUUCUGCGGUGCACCCUUUUAAAAAUUGACAAGUGAACAAGAUCAAUUUUUUAAGAAAGCAAAGGUAGAAAACAAAAGGCGUGCGACUUCUUGACUGGCUUGUUCCCGCCUUUCUUCCUUCUCUAUACUCAGAUCAGAAACUUUUCUUUAAUUGCUCUUAUUCAGUGCGACAACUUUUAAUAAAAGCAUUUGCAUUUUA
Molecule: long non-coding RNA, 1008 nt
Filed under: Homo sapiens (human)
Lineage: Eukaryota; Metazoa; Chordata; Mammalia; Primates; Hominidae
Description: HSALNT0395398
Source: RNAcentral